Molecule: ribosomal RNA, 2900 nt
Filed under: Klebsiella pneumoniae
Lineage: Bacteria; Pseudomonadati; Pseudomonadota; Gammaproteobacteria; Enterobacterales; Enterobacteriaceae
Description: bacterial LSU rRNA
Rfam family: Bacterial large subunit ribosomal RNA
Source: RNAcentral
UUAAGCGACUAAGCGUACACGGUGGAUGCCCUGGCAGUCAGAGGCGAUGAAGGACGUGCUAAUCUGCGAAAAGCGUCGGUAAGGUGAUAUGAACCGUUAUAACCGGCGAUGUCCGAAUGGGGAAACCCAGUGCAAUUCGUUGCACUAUCGUUAACUGAAUACAUAGGUUAACGAGGCGAACCGGGGGAACUGAAACAUCUAAGUACCCCGAGGAAAAGAAAUCAACCGAGAUUCCCCCAGUAGCGGCGAGCGAACGGGGAGCAGCCCAGAGUCUGAAUCAGCUUGUGUGUUAGUGGAACGGUCUGGAAAGUCCGACGGUACAGGGUGAUAGUCCCGUACACCAAAAUGCACAGGUUGUGAACUCGAAGAGUAGGGCGGGACACGUGGUAUCCUGUCUGAAUAUGGGGGGACCAUCCUCCAAGGCUAAAUACUCCUGACUGACCGAUAGUGAACCAGUACCGUGAGGGAAAGGCGAAAAGAACCCCGGCGAGGGGAGUGAAAAAGAACCUGAAACCGUGUACGUACAAGCAGUGGGAGCACCUUCGGGUGUGACUGCGUACCUUUUGUAUAAUGGGUCAGCGACUUAUAUUCUGUAGCAAGGUUAACCGUAUAGGGGAGCCGCAGGGAAACCGAGUCUUAACUGGGCGUUAAGUUGCAGGGUAUAGACCCGAAACCCGGUGAUCUAGCCAUGGGCAGGUUGAAGGUUGGGUAACACUAACUGGAGGACCGAACCGACUAAUGUUGAAAAAUUAGCGGAUGACUUGUGGCUGGGGGUGAAAGGCCAAUCAAACCGGGAGAUAGCUGGUUCUCCCCGAAAGCUAUUUAGGUAGCGCCUCGUGAACUCAUCUUCGGGGGUAGAGCACUGUUUCGGCUAGGGGGUCAUCCCGACUUACCAACCCGAUGCAAACUACGAAUACCGAAGAAUGUUAUCACGGGAGACACACGGCGGGUGCUAACGUCCGUCGUGAAGAGGGAAACAACCCAGACCGCCAGCUAAGGUCCCAAAGUCAUGGUUAAGUGGGAAACGAUGUGGGAAGGCACAGACAGCCAGGAUGUUGGCUUAGAAGCAGCCAUCAUUUAAAGAAAGCGUAAUAGCUCACUGGUCGAGUCGGCCUGCGCGGAAGAUGUAACGGGGCUAAACCAUGCACCGAAGCUGCGGCAGCGACACUAUGUGUUGUUGGGUAGGGGAGCGUUCUGUAAGCCUGCGAAGGUGUGCUGUGAGGCAUGCUGGAGGUAUCAGAAGUGCGAAUGCUGACAUAAGUAACGAUAAAGCGGGUGAAAAGCCCGCUCGCCGGAAGACCAAGGGUUCCUGUCCAACGUUAAUCGGGGCAGGGUGAGUCGACCCCUAAGGCGAGGCCGAAAGGCGUAGUCGAUGGGAAACAGGUUAAUAUUCCUGUACUUGGUGUUACUGCGAAGGGGGGACGGAGAAGGCUAUGUUAGCCGGGCGACGGUUGUCCCGGUUUAAGCAUGUAGGCUGAUUAUCCAGGCAAAUCCGGAUAAUCAAGGCUGAGGUGUGAUGACGAGGCACUACGGUGCUGAAGUAACAAAUGCCCUGCUUCCAGGAAAAGCCUCUAAGCAUCAGGUAACAUCAAAUCGUACCCCAAACCGACACAGGUGGUCAGGUAGAGAAUACCAAGGCGCUUGAGAGAACUCGGGUGAAGGAACUAGGCAAAAUGGUGCCGUAACUUCGGGAGAAGGCACGCUGGUGUGUAGGUGAAGUCCCUGCGGAUGGAGCUGAGACCAGUCGAAGAUACCAGCUGGCUGCAACUGUUUAUUAAAAACACAGCACUGUGCAAACACGAAAGUGGACGUAUACGGUGUGACGCCUGCCCGGUGCCGGAAGGUUAAUUGAUGGGGUUAUCCGUAAGGAGAAGCUCUUGAUCGAAGCCCCGGUAAACGGCGGCCGUAACUAUAACGGUCCUAAGGUAGCGAAAUUCCUUGUCGGGUAAGUUCCGACCUGCACGAAUGGCGUAAUGAUGGCCAGGCUGUCUCCACCCGAGACUCAGUGAAAUUGAACUCGCUGUGAAGAUGCAGUGUACCCGCGGCAAGACGGAAAGACCCCGUGAACCUUUACUAUAGCUUGACACUGAACAUUGAGCCUUGAUGUGUAGGAUAGGUGGGAGGCUUUGAAGCGUGGACGCCAGUCUGCGUGGAGCCAACCUUGAAAUACCACCCUUUAAUGUUUGAUGUUCUAACGUUGGCCCCUGACCGGGGUUGCGGACAGUGUCUGGUGGGUAGUUUGACUGGGGCGGUCUCCUCCCAAAGCGUAACGGAGGAGCACGAAGGUUAGCUAAUCCUGGUCGGACAUCAGGAGGUUAGUGCAAUGGCAUAAGCUAGCUUGACUGCGAGCGUGACGGCGCGAGCAGGUGCGAAAGCAGGUCAUAGUGAUCCGGUGGUUCUGAAUGGAAGGGCCAUCGCUCAACGGAUAAAAGGUACUCCGGGGAUAACAGGCUGAUACCGCCCAAGAGUUCAUAUCGACGGCGGUGUUUGGCACCUCGAUGUCGGCUCAUCACAUCCUGGGGCUGAAGUAGGUCCCAAGGGUAUGGCUGUUCGCCAUUUAAAGUGGUACGCGAGCUGGGUUUAGAACGUCGUGAGACAGUUCGGUCCCUAUCUGCCGUGGGCGCUGGAGAAUUGAGGGGGGCUGCUCCUAGUACGAGAGGACCGGAGUGGACGCAUCACUGGUGUUCGGGUUGUCAUGCCAAUGGCACUGCCCGGUAGCUAAAUGCGGAAGAGAUAAGUGCUGAAAGCAUCUAAGCACGAAACUUGCCCCGAGAUGAGUUCUCCCUGAGACUUUAAGUCUCCUGAAGGAACGUUGAAGACGACGACGUUGAUAGGCCGGGUGUGUAAGCGCAGCGAUGCGUUGAGCUAACCGGUACUAAUGAACCGUGAGGCUUAACCUU